Molecule: ribosomal RNA, 822 nt
Filed under: uncultured marine bacterium
Lineage: Bacteria
Description: bacterial SSU rRNA
Rfam family: Bacterial small subunit ribosomal RNA
Source: RNAcentral
GGGGUGAGUAAAGCGGCGAAAGGGUGAGUAAUAUAUAGACAACCUGCCUCUCGGAUCGGGAUAAUUCGGGGAAACCCGUUGUAAUACCGGAUGGUCCUAUCGGGUCGCAUGGCCUGACUGGUAAAUGGUAGCUUUGCUUCUGCCGAGAGAGGGGUCUAUAUCCUAUUAGCUUGUUGGUGAGGUAACGGCUCACCAAGGCGAUGAUGGGUAGCCGGACUGAGAGGUUGGCCGGUCACACUGGGACUGAGACACUGCCCAGACUCCUACGGGAGGCUGCAGUCGAGAAUCUUCCGCAAUGGACGAAAGUCUGACGGGGCGACGCCGCGUGUACGAAGAAGGCCUUCGGGUUGUAAAGUACUGUCAAGAGGGAAGAACCUUCAGGAGUUAAUAGCUCCUGUUUUGACGUUACCUCUAGAGGAAGCCCUGGCUAACUCCGUGCCAGCAGCCGCGGUAAUACGGAGAGGGCAAGCGUUGUUCGGAAUCACUGGGCAUAAAGAGCACGUGGCGGAUUGAAAAGUCGGUUGUGAAAGCCCGGGGCUCAACCCCGGAACUGCUUCCGAAACUUUCAGUCUAGAGGACGAGAGGGGAGAGUGGAACUUCUGGUGGAGCGGUGAAAUGCGUAGAUAUCAGAAGGAACACCGGUGGCGAAAGCGACUCUCUGGCUCGUAUCUGACGCUGAGGUGCGAAAGCUUGGGUAGCGAACGGGAUUAGAUACCCCGGUAGUCCAAGCCGUANACGAUGGGCACUAAGCAAGGGGAAUUCUGACAUUCUCUCUGCCGUAGCUAAUGUGUUAAGUGCCCCGCCUGGGGAGUACGGUCGCAA